RNAcentral lists this ribosomal RNA (515 nucleotides) under uncultured bacterium. RNAcentral describes it as "partial 16S ribosomal RNA". It matches the Rfam family "Bacterial small subunit ribosomal RNA", at positions 28 to 523 of the family's 1533-position model. The record is from RNAcentral.
GAUGAACGCUGGCGGCGUGCCUAAUACAUGCAAGUCGAGCGAAUGGAUUAGGAGCUUGCUCUUAUGAAGUUAGCGGCGGACGGGUGAGUAACACGUGGGUAACCUGCCCAUAAGACUGGGAUAACUCCGGGAAACCGGGGCUAAUACCGGAUAACAUUUUGAACCGCAUGGUUCGAAAUUGAAAGGCGGCUUCGGCUGUCACUUAUGGAUGGACCCGCGUCGCAUUAGCUAGUUGGUGAGGUAACGGCUCACCAAGGCAACGAUGCGUAGCCGAACUGGGAGGGUGAUCGGCCACACUGGGACUCAGACACGGCCCAGACUCCUACGGGAGGCAGCAGUAGGGAAUCUUCCGCAAUGGACGAAAGUCUGACGGAGCAACGCCGCGUGAGUGAUGAAGGCUUUCGGGUCGUAAAACUCUGUUGUUAGGGAAGAACAAGUGCUAGUUGAAUAAGCUGGCACCUUGACGGUACCUAACCAGAAAGCCACGGCUAACUACGUGCCAGCAGCCGCAGUAA